This 270-nucleotide ribosomal RNA is filed under the name uncultured soil bacterium. Its description in RNAcentral is "partial 16S ribosomal RNA". It matches the Rfam family "Bacterial small subunit ribosomal RNA", at positions 26 to 281 of the family's 1533-position model. The record is from RNAcentral.
AGAAUGAACGCUGGCGGCGUGCUUAACACAUGCAAGUCGAGCGAGGCCAGGGGGGGCAACUCCCUGAGUCGAGCGGCGGACGGGUGAGUAACACGUGGGUAACCUACCCGGAAGUGGGGGAAUACCUCGGGGAAACUCGAGCUAAUACCGCAUGAAAUCUCGAGGACGAAAGUCCUUUUGAUCAAAGCGGGCCGCAAGGCCUCGUGCUACCGGAUGGGCCCGCGCCCGAUUAGCUAGUUGGCGAGGUAAUGGCUCACCAAGGCGACGAUC